UGGGGAAUUUUGGACAAUGGGCGAAAGCCUGAUCCAGCAAUGCCGCGUGUGUGAAGAAGGCCUUCGGGUUGUAAAGCACUUUUGUCCGGAAAGAAAUCCUCUGGGUUAAUACCUCGGGGGAUGACGGUGCCGGAAGAAUAAGCACCGGCUAACUACGUGCCAGCAGCCGCGGUAAUACGUAGGGUGCAAGCGUUAAUCGGAAUUACUGGGCGUAAAGCGUGCGCAGGCGGUUUUGUAAGACGGAUGUGAAAUCCCCGGGCUUAACCUGGGAACUGCAUUCGUGACUGCAAGGCUAGAGUAUGGCAGAGGGGGGUAGAAUUCCACGUGUAGCAGUGAAAUGCGUAGAGAUGUGGAGGAA
Molecule: ribosomal RNA, 358 nt
Filed under: uncultured bacterium
Lineage: Bacteria
Description: partial 16S ribosomal RNA
Rfam family: Bacterial small subunit ribosomal RNA
Source: RNAcentral